GGCUCAGAACGAACGCUGGCGGCGUGGAUAAGACAUGCAAGUCGAACGCUGAUUGCGAGGUAGCAAUAUUUCGCAGUCGGAGUGGCGCAAGGGUGCUUAACUCGUGGGUAAUCUGCCGUAAAGACCGGGACAACUUGCUGAAAGGCGAGCUAAUACCGGAUGUGACGAUUGGGAGGCCUCUUCUGAUCUUCAAAGCUGGGGACCGCAAGGCCUGGCACUUUACGAUGAGCCCGCGGCCUAUCAGGUAGUUGGCGGGGUAACGGCCCACCAAGCCUUAGACGGGUAGCUGGUCUGAGAGGACGACCAGCCACACUGGAACUGAGACACGGUCCAGACACCUACGGGUGGCAGCAGUCGAGAAUUUUUCACAAUGGGCGCAAGCCUGAUGGAGCGACGCCGCGUGGGGGAUGAAGGGCUUCGGCUCGUAAACCCCUGUCAUUUGUGACCAAGAUAGCCGGUUGAAUAGAUCGGCUGUUUGAUGGUAGCGAAAGAGGAAGGGACGGCUAACUCUGUGCCAGCAGCCGCGGUAAUACAGAGGUCCCAAGCGUUGUUCGGAUUCACUGGGCGUAAAGGGUGCGUAGGUGGUCGGGUAAGUCUGAUGUGAAAUCUCCGAGCUUAACUCGGAAACGGCAUCGGAAACUACUUGGCUUGAGGAUUGGAGGGGAGACUGGAAUUCUCGGUGUAGCAGUGAAAUGCGUAGAUAUCGAGAGGAACACCAGUGGCGAAGGCGAGUCUCUGGACAAUUCCUGACACUGAGGCACGAAAGCUAGGGGAGCAAACAGGAUUAGAUACCCUGGUAGUCCUAGCUGUAAACGGUGCACGUUUGCCGUAAUCGGAAUCGACCCCGAUUGUGGCGAAGCUAACGCGUUAAACGUGCCGCCUGGGGAGUACGGU
RNAcentral lists this ribosomal RNA (894 nucleotides) under uncultured bacterium. RNAcentral's name for it is "bacterial SSU rRNA". It matches the Rfam family "Bacterial small subunit ribosomal RNA", at positions 21 to 886 of the family's 1533-position model. The record is from RNAcentral.